This 207-nucleotide non-coding RNA is filed under the name Onchocerca ochengi. RNAcentral's name for it is "Eukaryotic large subunit ribosomal RNA". It matches the Rfam family "Eukaryotic large subunit ribosomal RNA", at positions 971 to 1170 of the family's 3401-position model. The record is from Rfam by way of RNAcentral. Lineage: Eukaryota; Metazoa; Nematoda; Chromadorea; Rhabditida; Onchocercidae.
CAUUCAGAAUAGCUGGAAUACGUAAUGAAGCUGUUAUAUUCGGUAAAGCGAAUGAUUAGAGGAAUUGUGAGACGAAACGUUUUCAAUCUUUUUUCAAAUUUUCAAUGAGAAUGACGUCUUGCUUGCUUGAAUGAAGCGUAGAUAUUGAAAUGUGUAUUCCACGUAGGCUAUUUUUGAUAAGCAGGAUUGACGCUGUAGGAUGAACCA